AUUUUUUUUACCCACAAACCAGAGUAGUUUCAUUGUGAACAUUUAUUGUAAAUAGUUUUACUGCUUCUUUCUCUGAAUCUUGCUUCUAAAUAAUUUAAAUAUUAUGUGAAAUUGACUAAUACAUGAUGUGAUAAGGACUUCAUCAUGCUAUAUGCUAUUUAUACUUUGCUUUCUAAUAUUUAAUCUUGAGCUUUAUUGGUAAUGUUGAGUUAUACAAUGUAUGCAAAGUCAGACUUGACAAUCAGUCACUUCCUUUUUUUUUUAAAUUUAAAAAUGUAUUCAAUCAAAGCAGGAAUUUCUUACUCAAUGUCUGUCAAUGUCAGUAGUCAGGAAUAAUAUGAUAUUUUGUAUCAAACCAUAUACUGAUGAGUUGUACCGACAAUUUAUACAACUUUUAGAUCUGUGUACUUGCUUCCUAUUUGAUGAUAAUUUAAAUUUUACUUUACACAUUAAACAUUGAACUUUUGUUGACAAUGUUGUAACAAGUGGGGAUUUUAUAUUUUACAUGUAACUUUUUGUUUUCAUAUGAUGCAACAAAGAAGUAAGUUCAGUAAGGGCCAUAUUUGGCCAUGAUUAUAAAGUUUAAUGUAACAAGAUGAUAAAUGUUUUAAGUUGACUUUAGGACAUGUGAGAAAGUAAAAUAGAACUAUUUUUGUCAAAGUUUUAUUUUAAAGUGUCCUUUUUUAUAUCCAAAUUACGUCAAACAAGAGAUUUGGCAUAAUUUUACAAAAUCGGCCGAAUUUCAACCAAAUUUAGGACUGGGAAACAUUGAGCACAGGCGUCGACAAACUAGAUAUUCGUAGACGUGUAAAAUGUAUUUCAAAAUUUAUUUUAAAAGAUUUUUGUUGUAUGUGCUCAAUUUUUCUUGUCCAAUAAUUGAUGGAAAUUUACCCAUUUUCAUUGACUUUUUCAGAGGAAAUCAAAAUAAGUACUAUUUGUGACGUCAUAAAUAAAAAGCAGGGAAAUAAAUUUUCAACAAAAGGGCUUAUUUUCUAACUAGUCACUGUAUAAGCUAUUUUUCAUUGUUAUAUUGGUCAAUAAGUCACAAUUUGAAAUUUAAGCUAAAAGAGGGAGCCAUUUUAGGACCUUAUAGAACCUAUUCCUUUUCAACAUUUCUGGGAAAUACCUCCACAGUGCCAUAUACAAUAAAUAUAUACUUUGCAUACAUUUAUAAUAAAAUUUAAUAUUUUUU
RNAcentral lists this long non-coding RNA (1192 nucleotides) under Mytilus galloprovincialis (Mediterranean mussel). The record is from RNAcentral. Lineage: Eukaryota; Metazoa; Mollusca; Bivalvia; Mytilida; Mytilidae.